UACGUAGGGCGCAAGCGUUGUCCGGAAUUAUUGGGCGUAAAGAGCUCGUAGGCGGUCUGUCGCGUCUGCUGUGAAAACUCAGGGCUUAACCCUGAGCUUGCAGUGGGUACGGGCAGACUAGAGUGCGGUAGGGGAGACUGGAAUUCCUGGUGUAGCGGUGAAAUGCGCAGAUAUCAGGAGGAACACCGGUGGCGAAGGCGGGUCUCUGGGCCGAAACUGACGCUGAGGAGCGAAAGCGUGGGGAGCAAACAGG
Molecule: ribosomal RNA, 253 nt
Filed under: uncultured bacterium
Lineage: Bacteria
Description: partial 16S ribosomal RNA
Rfam family: Bacterial small subunit ribosomal RNA
Source: RNAcentral